This 449-nucleotide ribosomal RNA is filed under the name uncultured bacterium. Its description in RNAcentral is "bacterial SSU rRNA". It matches the Rfam family "Bacterial small subunit ribosomal RNA", at positions 329 to 794 of the family's 1533-position model. The record is from RNAcentral.
GGCCAGACUCCUACGGGAGGCAGCAGUGGGGAAUAUUGCACAAUGGGGGAAACCCUGAUGCAGCGACGCCGCGUGAGUGAAGAAGUAUUUCGGUAUGUAAAGCUCUAUCAGCAGGAACGAGACAAGACGGUACCUGACUAAGAAGCCCCGGCUAACUACGUGCCAGCAGCCGCGGUAAUACGUAGGGGGCAAGCGUUAUCCGGAAUCACUGGGUGUAAAGGGAGCGUAGACGGCUGAGCAAGCCUGAAGUGAAAGGCGGGGGCCCAACCCCCGGACUGCUUUGGGAACUGUACGACUGGAGUGCAGGAGAGGUAAGUGGAAUUCCUAGUGUAGCGGUGAAAUGCGUAGAUAUUAGGAGGAACACCAGUGGCGAAGGCGGCUUACUGGACUGUGACUGACGUUGAGGCUCGAAAGCGUGGGGAGCAAACAGGAUUAGAUACCCUGGUAAC